Molecule: ribosomal RNA, 484 nt
Filed under: uncultured bacterium
Lineage: Bacteria
Description: partial 16S ribosomal RNA
Rfam family: Bacterial small subunit ribosomal RNA
Source: RNAcentral
AUUGAACGCUGGCGGCAGGCCUAACACAUGCAAGUCGAGCGGAUGAAGGGAGCUUGCUCCUGGAUUCAGCGGCGGACGGGUGAGUAAUGCCUAGGAAUCUGCCUGGUAGUGGGGGAUAACGUCCGGAAACGGGCGCUAAUACCGCAUACGUCCUGAGGGAGACAGUGGGGGAUCUUCGGACCUCACGCUAUCAGAUGAGUCUAGGUCGGAUUAGCUAGUUGGUGGGGUAAAGGCCUACCAAGGCGACGAUCCGUAACUGGUCGGAGAGGAUGAUCAGUCACACUGGAACUGAGACACGGUCCAGACUCCUACGGGAGGCAGCAGUGGGGAAUAUUGGACAAUGGGCGAAAGCCUGAUCCAGCCAUGCCGCGUGUGUGAAGAAGGUCUUCGGAUUGUAAAGCACUUUAAGUUGGGAGGAAGGGCAGUAAGUUAAUACCUUGCUGUUUUGACGUUACCAACAGAAUAAGCACCGGCUAACUUCGUG